CUGGCUGGGAAGGUGGGAGUUCAUUGCCUCUCCCCUACUGCUUUUCUGGUGGAGAAAGAAGAGGAGGACGCAAAGCGGACUGGGACCCAGAAGGAGAUUGCAGCGCUAGAAUGUGAACUCAAGAAAAUUAACAACACUAGCAGCAACAAACAAAUAAGCAGUAAAAACAUGGCUCCCGUAUUGCAGACUGCAGUUAAAGAUUCUCGGCUAGGCAUGAAGGCGGGCUCACUCACAAGUCGCCGUUUGAAUCCUGAAGCAAGCCACACAGGAAGCACAUGCAAGAUACAGAGAUUUACAAAUUAUGGAUUCGCAAUCAACUAAGAACCGAGUCCGGGAAUGACAAGGAGACAGCUGGUUCUACGAAUUGGUGAAAUAAAUGCUGUCAGCAAAGUCCUCCCUCUUCCCCUCCCCACAAGUAGAACUCAAGCCGUUAUGCGUCCUUUGAAGAUAGGGAGAAUCCAUCAUAUUUGGGGUUAUGUUGAGAUGUUGUGAUCGUAAGCCUGAAUAAGUCAUUUCCUAAGGAGAAAGUGGCUGAAUGCAGAUGUUCAUGUACCAAGUGUUAACUUAUAUAGCAUACACACUUGCUGAGGGAGAGCAUGUCAUUGGGUGCAUGUAACCAGAGGCAGUUUUAGGGCAACACAACUAGUUGAGUCGCACUGGGUGCCACACUGCAAGGGACACAUCAACAGUGCUAUAGAACAAAGUGUGAGAGGCA
Non-coding RNA from Podarcis muralis (Common wall lizard), 715 nucleotides. Lineage: Eukaryota; Metazoa; Chordata; Lepidosauria; Squamata; Lacertidae. The record is from RefSeq and is a predicted model, not a curated record.